This 204-nucleotide ribosomal RNA is filed under the name Segatella copri. Its description in RNAcentral is "partial 16S ribosomal RNA". It matches the Rfam family "Bacterial small subunit ribosomal RNA", at positions 1 to 193 of the family's 1533-position model. The record is from RNAcentral. Lineage: Bacteria; Pseudomonadati; Bacteroidota; Bacteroidia; Bacteroidales; Prevotellaceae.
ACAAUGGAGAGUUUGAUCCUGGCUCAGGAUGAACGCUAGCUACAGGCUUAACACAUGCAAGUCGAGGGGAAACGAUAUUGGAAGCUUGCUUCCGAUAGGCGUCGACCGGCGCACGGGUGAGUAACGCGUAUCCAACCUGCCCACCACUUGGGGAUAACCUUGCGAAAGUAAGACUAAUACCCAAUGACGUCUCUAGAAGACAUC